AAAGGCAAAAUUGGGUUGGAGGAAAUUAGGGAACACAAUUAGGAGUCCACGACAGACAAACAACGAUUGGAAUCUGUACGUCCAACCAAGGUGGAGAGCAGCGGAGAGCCUCCUCCAGCCAGGGGCGGAUCUACAGAGGGACUCGGGUGGUCCCGGGACCCUCCAAAGUUCUGGAGAAAGGCUUGAGAGGACCUCCGAGGACCCCCCGAUAAUCUGGGCAGUUUGUGCUAGCUGGGUUUAUAUGCACAAUCGACGGUCCAGUGGUUGCAGCUUGCGGAGAAGACGAGUCCUCCUGUUUUCUCUGUUUCUCUUUUUACCUAACACGUUGUCGUUUUUAAAAUCUUGACUUUAAUAAAACGGUGCGUUGCGAAAGGUUGCGUAAUUGUUUGCUUUCCCUUUUUUUUUAGAUUUGAUCUUUUUUUCUCUUUUUUUGGGUCAGAUUUUUUCUCUUCUAAAACUAAAACCCCACAAACUCCAACAUAUCUUUACUGUUAUAUAUAAUACCCGUGCCCUGAUAAUUUUAUUUUAUCCUAAAACCAAAGCAACUCAUCUAAACACUACAUUAAUAAAAUCCUAUUUGUCGAUCAAAAGAAAGUGAAAAGAUAUAUUCUAUCACAAAACAAAAUCAUGGGUAGUAAAGUAAAUUCACAUAAACUAAAUUUUACAGUUUUUUUUCAAAACCUCACCCAAAGAUGAACUGCCGUGGGGCAUAUACUAGUAUUAAUUAUAAAAACACUUAUUAAGGGCAGUUAGAUAACCAUCUUAUUUUUAGUUUUUAUUUUUGAGAAUUUUAACGAAAAGCACCCGGUACUGUUCACUUUAACGAAAAACCACAUUUUUACACUAAAAAGUCAAUCCUGGUACUAUUCACUUUACCUUUUAUUUUGUCCUUAUCAUUAAAACUCAAAGUUUUCAAACCCUUUUCAUUAAUUUUCCUUUUAUUUUUUUCACUUUUUUAAUUUUGUUUUACUUUUUUUCUCUACCAUAGGAUUAAAAUCAAACGAUGAGUGAAUGUGAUUUUCUUGAACCCUAUAGUCUAGGAGAACAAGACUCGUGUUGUUUGUACCAACAUUUAUAAAUGACAGUGAUGGUUUAAUGUUUCAAUGUUGUUUUCAUCUAAUUCUUUUUUUUUUUACAUUUACUUUAGGACCACCCGAGGUUAAUAUCCUGGAUUCGCCAUUGCCUCCAGCCUUCUUCUGACGGCGCCGAGGCUUUCUCCUCAGCCACCGCCGCAACAGCUGCAGCAUCAUCAGGAUAAACGACCCCAUCGCAGCCAAAGCGCCAACAGCAACAAGAUGAAGGGAUUAUUCAAGUCCAAGCCCCGAACCCCCGCCGACAUCGUUCGUCAGACCCGGGAUUUACUUGUCUAUGCCCAGCGCGCUCCCGAUUCUCGCAAAAGUAAACGCGAGGAAAAGGUAUCUAUUUUCCAUCUAUUAAAGCAAUCGAUCCAAUUCAAUACGAUCUGAUUGAAAUUUUGAUCCGG
RNAcentral lists this long non-coding RNA (1483 nucleotides) under Malus domestica (apple). Its description in RNAcentral is "long non-coding RNA (MDOM_LNC009781)". Lineage: Eukaryota; Viridiplantae; Streptophyta; Magnoliopsida; Rosales; Rosaceae. The record is from RNAcentral.